CACAUGCAAGUCGAACGAAGUUAGGAAGCUUGCUUCUGAUACUUAGUGGCGGACGAGUGAGUAAUGCUUAGGAAUCUGCCUAGUAGUGGGGGAUAACUUGGGGAAACCCAAGCUAAUACCGCAUACGACCUACGGGUGAAAGGGGGCGCAAGCUCUCGCUAUUAGAUGAGCCUAAGUCGGAUUAGCUAGUUGGUGGGGUAAAGGCCUACCAAGGCGACGAUCUGUAGCUGGUCUGAGAGGAUGAUCAGCCACACUGGGACUGAGACACGGCCCAGACUCCUACGGGAGGCAGCAGUGGGGAAUAUUGGACAAUGGGCGAAAGCCUGAUCCAGCCAUGCCGCGUGUGUGAAGAAGGCCUUUUGGUUGUAAAGCACUUUAAGUGGGGAGGAAAAGCUUAUGGUUAAUACCCAUAAGCCCUGACGUUACCCACAGAAUAAGCACCGGCUAACUCUGUGCCAGCAGCCGCGGUAAUACAGAGGGUGCAAGCGUUAAUCGGAAUUACUGGGCGUAAAGCGCGCGUAGGUGGUUAUUUAAGUCAGAUGUGAAAGCCCCGGGCUUAACCUGGGAACUGCAUCUGAUACUGGAUAACUAGAGUAGGUGAGAGGGGAGUAGAAUUCCAGGUGUAGCGGUGAAAUGCGUAGAGAUCUGGAGGAAUACCGAUGGCGAAGGCAGCUCCCUGGCAUCAUACUGACACUGAGGUGCGAAAGCGUGGGUAGCAAACAGGAUUAGAUACCCUGGUAGUCCACGCCGUAAACGAUGUCUACCAGUCGUUGGGUCUUUUAAAGACUUAGUGACGCAGUUAACGCAAUAAGUAGACC
This 818-nucleotide ribosomal RNA is filed under the name uncultured Moraxella sp. RNAcentral's name for it is "bacterial SSU rRNA". It matches the Rfam family "Bacterial small subunit ribosomal RNA", at positions 52 to 870 of the family's 1533-position model. The record is from RNAcentral. Lineage: Bacteria; Pseudomonadati; Pseudomonadota; Gammaproteobacteria; Moraxellales; Moraxellaceae.